GUGAAUUUUACCAAUAUCAAUUAAAGAUUUCCCUAUGAGGAGGGUGGUAGCUGACUCAAUAGAGACAAAUGAUCAGUGUUUCCAGAAUCAGCUCUAGUGCCAUCAGAGAUGGAGAAAAUAAAAGAUGUCAAAGGUUCACUUGAUUAACCUGAUUGGCUGUUUCAAGGGCUACUGUGAAAUUCUAGAAUUAUUUCCCCCUUUCAGGAGAAAGGAAUUUUGGCAUAAUGCUUUUCUAAGAAAUCUCUGACUAACAAAUGAAUAGGGGCAAGGGAACUAAAGGAAAAAGUUGUGUGCCUCUCAAAGGGCCUAAACAAAAGAGAAUACAUUCAGAGACAAGAACCUUUUGAGGUUUUUUAGAAUGCCCACUCUUUGAACUGUUUUAGUACUCUAAGGCUUUGGGAAAGUCCUAGGAAUUGUCCAAUGAUGUCGUCUAGCAAUUGCCCGAGUCCAAUCAUACAACAGGACGUGGAAGAAGAAGCCACUUGUUGUAAACCCACAGGCAAGUGGGCUGCAUGAGGAAUGAGUGGACUUGCACACGCUGUGCCGUUAGCGCAGUUCUGUGUUACAGGCUGUGUAAUGAAGAAUCUCCGUACCUGCAUCAUUCAAACUAACUGCUAAAGAUUUUUUCUAAUCCACAUCCAUAUGCUCCAUCCAGACAAGUACCAGUGUCAUCCUAAAUUAAGCCAUGCUUAGUUUCUUUGAUUUUUUUUCCAUUAAAAAAAUCAAUUUUCACACAUACAAAAUUUCCCUGAAAUUCACUGGGUUUUUACCAUCAGGCACUAUUUUCCAGGUAGGUAUUUCAGUUCUUAAACAAUCAAAGUUGGUCUCAAAUGAAAAAAACAAAUAAAUAAAAUAGCAAACAUCCAAA
Molecule: long non-coding RNA, 868 nt
Filed under: Equus caballus (horse)
Lineage: Eukaryota; Metazoa; Chordata; Mammalia; Perissodactyla; Equidae
Description: lncRNA (ENSECAG00000057959.1)
Source: RNAcentral